GGGGAUGUUUGAGGCAGAUUUGUGUCCGCCGUUUUGAGGCCAGCUUGCUGGUACCCAAACGGUGUUAGCAUUUUUUGUCUUGAACAUUUGAGUAUGGCUUACGGGCAUUUAUUGGUUCGAUCUGAGUGUAAGUUACGGUCGCAUGCGACACGUGCUUUCCAAUUAGUUCGGUCCAGUUAAUGCUCUCGUACUCGUUCCCCAUGUAAAAGCCGGUCAUCUAUCCGACCCGUCUUGAAACACGGACCAAGGAGUUUAUCGUGUGCGCAAGUUUUUGGGUGUUAAAAACCUAAAGGCGAAAUGAAAGUAAAUGGCUCUUUAGAGUCUGAUGUGCGAUCUUGUAAAAAAGUGCAGCAUGGCCCCAUUCUAACUGUUUACAGUAGGGUGGAGGAAGAGCGUACGCGGUGAGACCCGAAAGAUGGUGAACUAUUCCUGAGCAGGACGAAGCCAGAGGAAACUCUGGUGGAAGUCCGAAGCGGUU
RNAcentral lists this ribosomal RNA (478 nucleotides) under Meloidogyne incognita (southern root-knot nematode). Its description in RNAcentral is "eukaryotic LSU rRNA". It matches the Rfam family "Eukaryotic large subunit ribosomal RNA", at positions 433 to 885 of the family's 3401-position model. The record is from RNAcentral. Lineage: Eukaryota; Metazoa; Nematoda; Chromadorea; Rhabditida; Meloidogynidae.